This 465-nucleotide ribosomal RNA is filed under the name uncultured bacterium. RNAcentral describes it as "partial 16S ribosomal RNA". It matches the Rfam family "Bacterial small subunit ribosomal RNA", at positions 339 to 795 of the family's 1533-position model. The record is from RNAcentral.
CUACGGGGGGCUCCAGUGAGGAAUUUUGCGCAAUGGGGGGAACCCUGACGCAGCAACGCCGCGUGAGUGAAGAAGGCCUUUGGGUCGUAAAGCUCUGUCAACUGGGAAGAAAUUAGAGUUGUUUAACAGAUGAUUCUAUUGACGGUACCAGUGGAGGAAGCGCCGGCUAACUCCGUGCCAGCAGCCGCGGUAACACGGGGGGCGCAAGCGUUAUUCGGAAUUAUUGGGCGUAAAGGGCGCGCAGGCGGUCUUGUCGGUCAGGUGUGAAAGCCCGGGGCUCAACCCUGGAAGUGCACUUGAAACAGCAAGACUUGAGUACGGGAGAGGAAAGCGGAAUUCCUGGUGUAGAGGUGAAAUUCGUAGAUAUCAGGAGGAACACCGAUGGCGAAGGCAGCUUUCUGGACCGAUACUGACGCUGAGGCGCGAAGGCGUGGGUAGCGAACGGGAUUAGAUACCCUGGUAGUC